RNAcentral lists this ribosomal RNA (466 nucleotides) under uncultured bacterium. RNAcentral's name for it is "partial 16S ribosomal RNA". It matches the Rfam family "Bacterial small subunit ribosomal RNA", at positions 28 to 507 of the family's 1533-position model. The record is from RNAcentral.
GAUGAACGCUGGCGGCGUGCUUAACACAUGCAAGUCGAACGGAAAGGCCCAAGCUUGCUUGGGUACUCGAGUGGCGAACGGGUGAGUAACACGUGGGUGAUCUGCCCUGCACUUCGGGAUAAGCCUGGGAAACUGGGUCUAAUACCGGAUAGGACCACAUUUUGGAUGGUGUGGUGGAAAGUUUUUCGGUGUGGGAUGAGCUCGUGGCCUAUCAGCUUGUUGGUGGGGUAAUGGCCUACCAAGGCGUCGACGGGUAGCCGGCCUGAGAGGGUGUACGGCCGCAUUGGGACUGAGAUACGGCCCAGACUCCUACUGGAGGCAGAAGUGGGGAAUAUUGCACAAUGGGCGCAAGCCGGAUGCAGCGACGCCUCGUGGGGGAUGACGGCCUUCGGGUUGUAAACUCCUUUCGCUAGGGACGAAGCGUUAUGUGACGGUACCUGGAGAAGAAGCACCGGCUAACUACGUG